GGGAUGGCUUGAAAAGGGUGGUGUGGAUGAUACUGGCUGCACUGUUGGAGCUUGGACUCGGAGAGGAACAUGUGAGCACAAUCCUGAUGAUGAGCCUGGCAAUUGACUAAGCUGACAAUCGGUGCCUGUGCAUUUCUUGAGGCGGUGGGACUUUGCCAUCCAGCAACUUGAGAGCUAAGUUGGGGGGCACCUGGUAUUUGCAUAUCUGGGGUGGCCAAUGGGAGCUGGGAGGCAGAGCAGCAUGGAGCCAGCUGGCUGAAUAGACUUGGAGCCACUGUGAGGGUGGUUCAGGCU
Non-coding RNA from Anas platyrhynchos (mallard), 294 nucleotides. The record is from RefSeq and is a predicted model, not a curated record. Lineage: Eukaryota; Metazoa; Chordata; Aves; Anseriformes; Anatidae.